RNAcentral lists this ribosomal RNA (383 nucleotides) under uncultured eukaryote. RNAcentral's name for it is "SSU rRNA". It matches the Rfam family "Eukaryotic small subunit ribosomal RNA", at positions 587 to 969 of the family's 1831-position model. The record is from RNAcentral.
AGCUCCAAUAGCGUAUAUUAAAGUUGUUGCAGUUAAAAAGCUCGUAGUUGGAUUUCUGGUAGGAGCAUACAAGUCCCUACUAAGUGGGGAUAUCUGUAGUGUCUCCGGCCAUCCUUGGGUGGAAGCUAUUUGGCAUUAAGUUGUUGAGUAGUUGAUGCCCAUCAUUUACUGUGAAAAAAUUAGAGUGCUCAAAGCAGGCUUUUACGCCUGAAUAUUCGUGCAUGGAAUAAUAGAAUAGGAAGUCGUUUCUAUUUUGUUGGUUUUCGGAAAUCGACUUAAUGAUUAAUAGGGACAGUCGGGGGCAUUUGUAUUCAAACGACAGAGGUGAAAUUCUUGGACCGUUUGAAGACAAACUACUGCGAAAGCAUUUGCCAAGAAUGUUU